RNAcentral lists this ribosomal RNA (389 nucleotides) under Afrixalus delicatus. RNAcentral's name for it is "partial 12S ribosomal RNA". The stretch from base 42 to 389 matches the Rfam family "Bacterial small subunit ribosomal RNA", at positions 875 to 1386 of the family's 1533-position model. The record is from RNAcentral. Lineage: Eukaryota; Metazoa; Chordata; Amphibia; Anura; Hyperoliidae.
AUGUUUAGCCGUAAAAAAUUAAAUUACACCCAAAAUCGCCAGAGAAUUACGAGCGCAAGCUUAAAACUCAAAGGACUUGACGGUGUCCCAUCUACCUAGAGGAGCCUGUUCUAUAAUCGAUAAUCCACGAUGAACCUCACCACCUUUAGCCAUAUUACCAGCCUGUAUACUUCCGUCGCAAGCUUACCAUGUGAAUGCACUAGUGAGCAAAAAGGUCCUACACACCAGAACGUCAGGUCAAAGUGCAGCCAAUAAGGUGGAAAGAAAUGGGCUACAGUUUCUUUAUAUAAGAACACACGAAAAACUAAUUGAAACCCAGUGAUAGAAGGAGGAUUUAGCAGUAAAAUGAAAAUAGAAUAUUCAUUYUAAUUUAGCCCGGGGACKUGUAC